GAGUAACACGUAUGCAACCUACCCAUAACAGGGGGAUAGCCCUAAGAAAUUGGGAUUAAUACCGCAUAAAACAGGGGUGCCGCAUGGCAAUAUUUGUUAAAUGAGAUUAUUUGGUUAUGGAUGGGCAUGCGCAGGAUUAGGUAGUUGGUGAGGGUAACGGCCCACCAAGCCCACGAUCCUUAGGGGAACUGAGAGGUUGGUCCCCCACACUGGUACUGAGACAGGGACCAGACUCCUACGGGAGGCAGCAGUGAGGAAUAUUGGUCAAUGGCCGCAAGGCUGAACCAGCCAAGUCGCGUGAAGGAAGAAGGUACUAAGUAUUGUAAACUUCUUUUGUUCGGGGGUAAAAAGCGGGAUGUAUCCUGUUUUGCAAGUACCGGACGAAUAAGCAUCGGCUAACUCCGUGCCAGCAGCCGCGGUAAUACGGAGGAUGCGAGCGUUAUCCGGAUUUAUUGGGUUUAAAGGGUGCGUAGGUGGUUUUUUAAGUCAGCGGUGAAAUCUUAACGCUUAACGUCAAAAUUGCCGUUGAAACUGGGGAACUUGAGAGCAGACGAGGCAGGCGGAAUUCGUAGUGUAGCGGUGAAAUGCAUAGAUAUUACGAAGAACUCCAAUAGCGCAGGCAGCUUGCCAGACUGCCACUGACACUGAAGCACGAAAGUGUGGGAAUCAAACAGGAUUAGAUACCCUGGUAGUCCACACUGUAAACGAUGAUUACUCGCUGUUUGCGAUAUACAGCAAGCGGCCAAGCGAAAGCAUUAAGUAAUCCACCU
Molecule: ribosomal RNA, 770 nt
Filed under: uncultured bacterium
Lineage: Bacteria
Description: bacterial SSU rRNA
Rfam family: Bacterial small subunit ribosomal RNA
Source: RNAcentral